AGAGCGAACGCUGGCGGCAGGCUUAACACAUGCAAGUCGAGCGCCCCGCAAGGGGAGCGGCAGACGGGUGAGUAACGCGUGGGAACGUACCUUUUGGUUCGGAACAACACAGGGAAACUUGUGCUAAUACCGGAUAAGCCCUUACGGGGAAAGAUUUAUCGCCGAAAGAUCGGCCCGCGUCUGAUUAGCUAGUUGGUGAGGUAACGGCUCACCAAGGCGACGAUCAGUAGCUGGUCUGAGAGGAUGAUCAGCCACAUUGGGACUGAGACACGGCCCAAACUCCUACGGGAGGCAGCAGUGGGGAAUAUUGGACAAUGGGCGCAAGCCUGAUCCAGCCAUGCCGCGUGAGUGAUGAAGGCCCUAGGGUUGUAAAGCUCUUUUAACGGGGAAGAUAAUGACGGUACCCGUAGAAUAAGCCCGGCUACUUCGUGCCAGCAGCCGC
RNAcentral lists this ribosomal RNA (442 nucleotides) under uncultured bacterium. RNAcentral describes it as "SSU rRNA". It matches the Rfam family "Bacterial small subunit ribosomal RNA", at positions 26 to 518 of the family's 1533-position model. The record is from RNAcentral.